This 342-nucleotide unclassified non-coding RNA is filed under the name soil metagenome. Its description in RNAcentral is "partial contains 5.8S ribosomal RNA, internal transcribed spacer 2, and large subunit ribosomal RNA". The stretch from base 1 to 120 matches the Rfam family "5.8S ribosomal RNA", at positions 35 to 154 of the family's 154-position model. The record is from RNAcentral.
GAUGAAGAACGUAGCGAAAUGCGAUAAGUAAUGUGAAUUGCAGAAUUCAGUGAAUCAUCGAAUCUUUGAACGCACAUUGCGCCCGCCAGCAUUCUGGCGGGCAUGCCUGUUCGAGCGUCAUUUCAACCCUCGAGCCCCCCCGGGGGCCUCGGUGUUGGGGGACGGCACACCAGCCGCCCCCGAAAUGCAGUGGCGACCCCGCCGCAGCCUCCCUGCGUAGUAGCACACACCUCGCACCGGAGCGCGGAGGCGGUCACGCCGUAAAACGCCCAACUUUCUUAGAGUUGACCUCGGAUCAGGUAGGAAUACCCGCUGAACUUAAGCAUAUCAAUAAGCGGAGGA